Molecule: ribosomal RNA, 254 nt
Filed under: uncultured bacterium
Lineage: Bacteria
Description: partial 16S ribosomal RNA
Rfam family: Bacterial small subunit ribosomal RNA
Source: RNAcentral
UACGUAGGUGGCAAGCGUUUGUUCGGAAUUACUGGGCGUAAAGAGUGUGUAGGCGGUGCUCUAAGUCUGUUGUGAAAUCUCCCGGCUUAACCGGGAGGGUGCGGCGGAAACUGGAGUGCUUGAGGGUGGGAGAGGUAAGCGGAAUUCCUGGUGUAGCGGUGAAAUGCGUAGAUAUCAGGAGGAACACCUGUGGUGUAGACAGCUUACUGGACCAUUUCUGACGCUGAGACACGAAAGCGUGGGUAGCAAACAGG